Molecule: ribosomal RNA, 184 nt
Filed under: uncultured soil bacterium
Lineage: Bacteria
Description: partial 16S ribosomal RNA
Rfam family: Bacterial small subunit ribosomal RNA
Source: RNAcentral
AGAUUGAACGCUGGCGGCAGGCCUAACACAUGCAAGUCGAGCGGCAGCACGGGUACUUGUACCUGGUGGCGAGCGGCGGACGGGUGAGUAAUGCCUAGGAAUCUGCCUGAUAGUGGGGGAUAACGUUCGGAAACGGACGCUAAUACCGCAUACGUCCUACGGGAGAAAGUGGGGGACUUCGUUA